GACGAACGCUGGCGGCGUGCCUAACACAUGCAAGUCGAACGGGGUUAUUAUGGAAGAUCCUUCGGGGUUGGAAGUAAUAACUUAGUGGCGAACGGGUGAGUAACGCGUGAGGAACCUGCCUUUCAGUGGGGGACAACAGUUGGAAACGACUGCUAAUACCGCAUAAUGUAUUCGAGCGGCAUCGCUUGGAUACCAAAGCUUUAUGUGCUGAAAGAUGGCCUCGCGUCUGAUUAGCUAGUUGGAGGGGUAACGGCCCACCAAGGCGACGAUCAGUAGCCGGUCUGAGAGGAUGAACGGCCACAUUGGGACUGAGAUACGGCCCAGACUCCUACGGGAGGCAGCAGUGGGGAAUAUUGGGCAAUGGGGGAAACCCUGACCCAGCAACGCCGCGUGAAGGAAGAAGGCUUUCGGGUUGUAAACGUUCUUUUACCAGGGACGAAGGACGUGACGGUACCUGGAGAAAAAGCAACGGCUAACUACGUG
RNAcentral lists this ribosomal RNA (483 nucleotides) under uncultured bacterium. RNAcentral's name for it is "bacterial SSU rRNA". It matches the Rfam family "Bacterial small subunit ribosomal RNA", at positions 28 to 507 of the family's 1533-position model. The record is from RNAcentral.